AUUGAACGCUGGCGGCAUGCUUUACACAUGCAAGUCGAACGGUAACAGGGUGCUUGCACCGCUGACGAGUGGCGAACGGGUGAGUAAUGCGUCGGAACGUGCCGAGUAGUGGGGGAUAACGCAGCGAAAGUUGUGCUAAUACCGCAUACGUACUGAGGUAGAAAGGGGGGGACCUUCGGGCCGCACGCUAUUCGAGCGGCCGACGUCUGAUUAGCUAGUAGGUGCGGUAAAGGCUCACCUAGGCGACGAUCAGUAGCGGGUCUGAGAGGAUGAUCCGCCACACUGGGACUGAGACACGGCCCAGACUCCUACGGGAGGCAGCAGUGGGGAAUUUUGGACAAUGGGCGAAAGCCUGAUCCAGCCAUGCCGCGUGUGUGAAGAAGGCCUUAUGGUUGUAAAGCACUUUAAGCGAGGAGGAGGCUACUUUAGUUAAUACCUGGAGAUAGUGGACGUUACUCGCAGAAUAAGCACCGGCUAACCCUGUGCCAGCCGCCGCCGUAA
Molecule: ribosomal RNA, 501 nt
Filed under: uncultured bacterium
Lineage: Bacteria
Description: partial 16S ribosomal RNA
Rfam family: Bacterial small subunit ribosomal RNA
Source: RNAcentral